GCCCCUAGAGAUUUUGGGGCGCACGCGCGCGACACAGAGAGAACCAGCGAGUUUUUUUCCUUGGCCGGAAGGUCUGGGUAAUCUUGUGAAACUCUGUCGUGCUGGGGAUAGAGCAUUGCAAUUAUUGCUCUUCAACGAGGAAUACCUAGUAAGCGCGAGUCAUCAGCUCGCGUUGAUUACGUCCCCUGCCCCUUGACCACCGCCC
Molecule: ribosomal RNA, 205 nt
Filed under: uncultured fungus
Lineage: Eukaryota; Fungi
Description: partial 18S ribosomal RNA
Rfam family: Eukaryotic small subunit ribosomal RNA
Source: RNAcentral